This 508-nucleotide ribosomal RNA is filed under the name uncultured bacterium. RNAcentral's name for it is "bacterial SSU rRNA". It matches the Rfam family "Bacterial small subunit ribosomal RNA", at positions 30 to 526 of the family's 1533-position model. The record is from RNAcentral.
AUUGAACGCUGGCGGCAGGCCUAACACAUGCAAGUCGAGCGGCAGCGGGGGGAAGCUUGCUUCCUCGCCGGCGAGCGGCGGACGGGUGAGUAAUGUCUGGGAAACUGCCCGAUGGAGGGGGAUAACUACUGGAAACGGUAGCUAAUACCGCAUAACGUCUACGGACCAAAGUGGGGGACCUUCGGGCCUCACACCAUCGGAUGAACCCAGAUGGGAUUAGCUAGUAGGCGGGGUAAAGGCCCACCUAGGCGACGAUCUCUAGCUGGUCUGAGAGGAUGACCAGCCACACUGGAACUGAGACACGGUCAGACUCCUACGGGAGGCAGCAGUGGGGAAUAUUGCACAAUGGGCGAAAGCCUGAUGCAGCCAUGCCGCGUGUAUGAAGAAGGCCUUCGGGUUGUAAAGUACUUUCAGCGAGGAGGAAGGCAUUAAGGUUAAUAACCUUGGUGAUUGACGUUACUCGCAGAAGAAGCACCGGCUAACUCCGUGCCAGCCGCCGCGGUAAUAC